This 158-nucleotide ribosomal RNA is filed under the name Ceratocystis cercfabiensis. RNAcentral's name for it is "5.8S ribosomal RNA". It matches the Rfam family "5.8S ribosomal RNA". From Rfam's summary of the family: 5.8S ribosomal RNA (5.8S rRNA) is a component of the large subunit of the eukaryotic ribosome. It is transcribed by RNA polymerase I as part of the 45S precursor that also contains 18S and 28S rRNA. The record is from RNAcentral. Lineage: Eukaryota; Fungi; Ascomycota; Sordariomycetes; Microascales; Ceratocystidaceae.
AAACUUUCAACAACGGAUCUCUUGGCUCUAGCAUCGAUGAAGAACGCAGCGAAAUGCGAUAAGUAAUGUGAAUUGCAGAAUUCAGUGAGUCAUCGAAUCUUUGAACGCACAUUGCGCCUGGCAGUAUUCUGCCAGGCAUGCCUGUCCGAGCGUCAUUU